RNAcentral lists this unclassified non-coding RNA (1220 nucleotides) under Actinia tenebrosa (Australian red waratah sea anemone). Its description in RNAcentral is "uncharacterized protein C17orf98-like, transcript variant X1". The record is from RNAcentral. Lineage: Eukaryota; Metazoa; Cnidaria; Anthozoa; Actiniaria; Actiniidae.
AAGUUGUCUAAUAUUUCAGCAUGGCGGCUGUUCAAUAUAAAUUGUCUCGUUGCGUUAGAAAUGGACCUUCUCAAAAGACUCCAGAGGAGUUGAGAAGACUCGAAAAGGGAUUUGUUUUGGAUAAUAUUGCAGUGAGUACGCUGUCGGAUGAUUCUGGACGCGCAAAUCCGAAGAUGAGCACAGCUAUUCCACCUUACAACGCGCAAAUAGACCCGCACACCAAAAACUACUUCGAAAAGAAACUUGUUCAGAGAUUACUAACCAGAACUCAACAGCCACCUCCAGGAGACUCCAUCAGUGGUAAACAAAUGGAUAAAUUUUAUAAUAAAGGAAUGAUGGGGACGUAUUUAAGCUACAGGAAUAGUGCUGGAGCAGGAUAUUCAAGGGCACAGGUUAGUGGGCACAGCUUGUUCUUAGAAGGGCUACCUCCUAUUAAUGGAUGGCAUGGCGCAUUUGGAUUCAGAAGAAACACGCCUUGGCUACGAAGACAACCUUCUGUUUUUAUAGGAAAAGUUGACAGCCGUUCAGUUGUGCCAUAAUAAAAAAAAAGACAGGUAGAUAGCAGAGGAUCAAAGUAAAGGAUUGGGGUUGAAAGGACUCAGUGGUACAUCUCUACCCUAAACAGGCAAGAGUACACCACAGGCCAAGGUUGUGGGGGUUGUUGGUAAUGAUUGUUCAUAGGGUGUUUAGAUUGGUGAUGGGGUGUUAAUUGGUACUCGAUUGGUUGUGGUAGUUGCUGUUGAUGUAGCACCACAAGUGAAUAAGGAGGAAACUUAAAACCAUUGUGACAGAGUCAAAAGAACGUUAUUUUAAACAAAAGUAAAUCGGACUUUAACCUAGUUUUAGUUAGUUUAAUUACGAUUUCGGAUACUAAGGAAUGUUCUUCCUUCAUAUCAAGUGAAAUCUGCAAACAAGUAGUUAAUUAAUUUCCUGGGAUUACAUGAGUAAUGUUAGCAUAAGCCACGUUUUACGGAACAAGUGCGCCUUGGGCGUAUUGUGCGUGGAUUAUUGUAAUACAUGAGGAAUGCAGACUCAAGUAUAAAUAGAGCUUUUCAAGUAAAUUUAGUCAGUAUAGCAAGAGAACUUGGAAGAGCGUCGAACCACAGAUUAAAGACAAAGAACUCGCGUCGUUAGAAGACAGAGAGCUGUAAUCUCGUUCUCGUUUUGUACUGAUUUGUGAUGUACUAAGCUGGGUUGUUGAAUAAACUCUUUUGCCAACA